UACGUAGGUUCCGAGCGUUAUCCGGAUUUACUGGGCGUAAAGCGCGUUCAGGCGGUUUGGCAAGUCGGGCAUGAAAUCUCUCGGCUCAACCGGGAGAGGUUGUUCGAUACUGCUGGACUUGAGGGCAGUAGAGGGUGGUGGAAUUCCGGGUGUAGUGGUGAAAUGCGUAGAUAUCCGGAGGAACACCUGCGGCGAAGGCGGGUUGCUGGGCUGACACUGACGCUGAUGUGCGAAAGCUAGGGGAGCGAACGGG
RNAcentral lists this ribosomal RNA (253 nucleotides) under uncultured bacterium. RNAcentral describes it as "partial 16S ribosomal RNA". It matches the Rfam family "Bacterial small subunit ribosomal RNA", at positions 524 to 776 of the family's 1533-position model. The record is from RNAcentral.